This 420-nucleotide ribosomal RNA is filed under the name uncultured bacterium. RNAcentral's name for it is "bacterial SSU rRNA". It matches the Rfam family "Bacterial small subunit ribosomal RNA", at positions 361 to 773 of the family's 1533-position model. The record is from RNAcentral.
AUCUUGCGCAAUGCGCGAAAGCGUGACGCAGCAACGCCGCGUGAGGGAAGACGGCCUUCGGGUUGUAAACCUCUUUCAGGAGGGACGAAGGUCGGCACGUUAAUAGCGUGUCCGGCUGACGGUACCUCCAGAAGAAGCCCCGGCUAACUACGUGCCAGCAGCCGCGGUAAUACGUAGGGGGCCAGCGUUGUCCGGAAUUAUUGGGCGUAAAGAGCGCGUAGGCGGUCCGGUUAGUCAGCUGUGAAACCCGGGGGCUCAACCCUCGGAGGCCGGCUGAUACUGCCGGACUAGAGUCCGGAAGAGGCGAGUGGAAUUCCUGGUGUAGCGGUGAAAUGCGCAGAUAUCAGGAGGAACACCAAUGGCGAAGGCAGCUCGCUGGGACGGUACUGACGCUGAGGCGCGAAAGCGUGGGGAGCAAAC